Molecule: ribosomal RNA, 416 nt
Filed under: uncultured bacterium
Lineage: Bacteria
Description: bacterial SSU rRNA
Rfam family: Bacterial small subunit ribosomal RNA
Source: RNAcentral
UAAGGAAUAUUGGUCAAUGGACGCAAGUCUGAACCAGCCAUGCCGCGUGGAGGAUUAAGGCCCUCUGGGUUGUAAACUCCUUUUAUCUGGGAAGAAAUGUACUUUUUCUUGAGUACUUGACGGUACCAGAGGAAUAAGCACCGGCUAACUCCGUGCCAGCAGCCGCGGUAAUACGGAGGGUGCAAGCGUUAUCCGGAUUCACUGGGUGUAAAGGGUGCGUAGGUGGGCAGGUAAGUCAGUGGUGAAAUCUCCGGGCUUAACCCUGAAACUGCCGUUGUUACUAUUUGUCUUGAAUAUUGUGGAGGUAAGCGGAAUAUGUCAUGUAGCGGUGAAAUGCUUAGCUAUGACAUAGAACACCAAUUGCGAAGGCAGCUUACUACACAAUCAUUGACGCUGAGGCACGAAAGCGUGGGGAU